AACGAACGCUGGCGGCAUGCCUAACACAUGCAAGUCGAACGAGACCUUCGGGCCUAGUGGCGCACGGGUGCGUAACGCGGGGGAACCUGCCCUUAGGUUCGGAAUAAAUCCCCGAAAGGGGUCCUAAUACCGGAUAAUGUCCUCCGUCCAUAGAUUUAUCGCCUUUGGAUGGGCUUGCGUUGGAUUAGCUAGUUGGUAGCGUAAAAGCCUACCAAGGCGUCGUUGCAUAGCUGGUUUGAGAGGCUGAUCCGCCACACUGGGACUGAGACACGGCCCAGACUCCUACGCGAGGGAGCAGUGGGGAAUACUGGACGAUGGGCGGAGGCCUGAUAAAGCAAUGCCGGGUGAGUGAUGAAGGCCUUAGGGUUGUAAAGCUCUUUUACCCGGGAUGAUAAUGACGGUACCGGGAGAAUAAGCACCGGCUAACUCCGUG
Molecule: ribosomal RNA, 433 nt
Filed under: uncultured bacterium
Lineage: Bacteria
Description: partial 16S ribosomal RNA
Rfam family: Bacterial small subunit ribosomal RNA
Source: RNAcentral